RNAcentral lists this ribosomal RNA (460 nucleotides) under uncultured bacterium. Its description in RNAcentral is "partial 16S ribosomal RNA". It matches the Rfam family "Bacterial small subunit ribosomal RNA", at positions 338 to 795 of the family's 1533-position model. The record is from RNAcentral.
CCUACGGGUGGCAGCAGUGAGGAAUAUUGGUCAAUGGACGAGAGUCUGAACCAGCCAAGUAGCGUGAAGGAUGACUGCCCUAUGGGUUGUAAACUUCUUUUAUAUGGGAAUAAACUGUUCCACGUGUGGGAUUUUGUAUGUACCAUAUGAAUAAGGAUCGGCUAACUCCGUGCCAGCAGCCGCGGUAAUACGGAGGAUCCGAGCGUUAUCCGGAUUUAUUGGGUUUAAAGGGAUCGUAGGUGGAUUGUUAAGUCAGUUGUGAAAGUUUGCGGCUCAACCGUAAAAUUGCAGUUGAUACUGGCAGUCUUGAGUACAGUAGAGGUGGGCGGAAUUCGUGGUGUAGCGGUGAAAUGCUUAGAUAUCACGAAGAACUCCGAUUGCGAAGGCAGUUCACUGGACUGCAACUGACACUGAGGCUCGAAAGUGUGGGUAUCAAACAGGAUUAGAUACCCUAGUAGUC